Molecule: ribosomal RNA, 114 nt
Filed under: Penicillium roqueforti
Lineage: Eukaryota; Fungi; Ascomycota; Eurotiomycetes; Eurotiales; Aspergillaceae
Description: partial 28S ribosomal RNA
Rfam family: Eukaryotic large subunit ribosomal RNA
Source: RNAcentral
GGUUGACCUCGGAUCAGGUAGGGAUACCCGCUGAACUUAAGCAUAUCAAUAAGCGGAGGAAAAGAAACCAACAGGGAUUGCCCCAGUAACGGCGAGUGAAGCGGCAAAGAGCUC